CCUACUGGCAGCACACCAUUUAAUCCUGAUGUCUACAGGGGGCCAGUGUUAUCAUCUGCUCCAGCAGUUCCCUUUCCGGCUUCACCAUUUCAAUGUCCUGUCUUGCCUUUUGGGACCAAUUUUCCUCUACCAUCAGCCACAUUUUCAGUUGGUUCAACAACAUAUCUGGAUUCAUCUUCUGGUGGGAGACUUUGCUUUCCCACGGUGCAUUCUCAAGUAUUAGCUUCUGCUGGUGCGGUUCCAUCUCAUUAUCCAAGGCCUUUUGUUGUUAGCCUGCAGGAUAAUAACAAUAUUAGUGCCUCUGAGAGUAGUAGGAAAUGGGGAAGGCAAGGUUUAGACCUCAAUGCAGGGCCUUUGGGCCCAGAUUUGGACGGGAGAGAUGAGACAGCUGCUCUAGCAUCAAGGCAAUUAUCCGUUGCCAGUUCACAGGCCACUGCAGAGGAACAGUCGAGGAUGUUUCAAGUGGCAGGCAGUGGCAUUUUGAAGAGGAAGGAGCCAGAGGGUAGCUGGGAAGGUUAUAAGCAAUCCUCAUGGCAGUAGAGAUGCUUGGCAGCACAAUCCAGUAAUCCAUGAGGCCUUGCUCUUAGAUUGAUACUGGCUAACUUCCAGAGCUCGUCAUCUAACUCUUGCUCUUCAAGGAUGGGUGGUAAGUGAGUUAUUUGAU
RNAcentral lists this unclassified non-coding RNA (664 nucleotides) under Hevea brasiliensis (rubber tree). The record is from RNAcentral. Lineage: Eukaryota; Viridiplantae; Streptophyta; Magnoliopsida; Malpighiales; Euphorbiaceae.